CCGGCCGCGGCUGAGUCUUCCCAGGGUCAGGGUCGGGCGCUUUGCUGAGUCCCUUUGUGGCCGCCAUGGACAAUUCCGGGAAGGAAGCGGAGGCGAUGGCGCUGUUGGCCGAGGCGGAGCGCAAAGUGAAGAACUCGCAGUCCUUCUUCUCUGGCCUCUUUGGGUGAAUAAAUGUGUAUGUGAAUGGCUUCUUCAGGAUCUUCCACUGGAACCUAGGCACGUCACUUUCCCCCUUUGGGGACUUCACUCCCAUUUCUAAAAGAAGAGGAUGGGACCCUGGAGAUCUGUCAUCCCCUGGCCAUGAGGCUCAUCCAAAAUAGAGGAAGCAUGCGAAAUCUACGCCAGAGCAGCAAACAUGUUCAAAAUGGCCAAAAACUGGAGUGCUGCUGGAAACGCGUUCUGCCAGGCUGCACAGCUGCACCUGCAGCUCCAGAGCAAGCACGACGCAGCCACCUGCUUUGUGGACGCUGGCAACGCAUUCAAGAAAGCCGACCCCCAAGAGGCCAUUAACUGUUUGAUGCGAGCAAUCGAGAUCUACACAGACAUGGGCCGAUUCACGAUUGCGGCCAAGCACCACAUCUCCAUUGCUGAGAUCUAUGAGACGGAGUUGGUGGACAUCGAGAAGGCCAUUGCCCACUACGAGCAGUCCGCAGACUACUACAAAGGCGAGGAGUCCAACAGGUAGCCCCCUUCCUGCCUGCCCCAGCCCCGCAGGGACCGCCACCACUUCCCCUCACUACUCCUCCCCACACAGCUCAGCCAACAAGUGUCUGCUGAAGGUGGCUGGUUACGCCGCGCUGCUGGAGCAGUAUCAGAAGGCCAUUGACAUCUACGAACAGGUGGGGACAGG
Molecule: small RNA, 850 nt
Filed under: Pan troglodytes (chimpanzee)
Lineage: Eukaryota; Metazoa; Chordata; Mammalia; Primates; Hominidae
Description: processed transcript
Source: RNAcentral